This 497-nucleotide ribosomal RNA is filed under the name uncultured bacterium. RNAcentral's name for it is "partial 16S ribosomal RNA". It matches the Rfam family "Bacterial small subunit ribosomal RNA", at positions 28 to 507 of the family's 1533-position model. The record is from RNAcentral.
GAUGAACGCUGGCGGCGUGCCUAAUACAUGCAAGUCGAGCGAACAGACGAGGAGCUUGCUCCUCUGACGUUAGCGGCGGACGGGUGAGUAACACGUGGAUAACCUACCUAUAAGACUGGGAUAACUUCGGGAAACCGGAGCUAACACCGGAUAAUAUAUUGAACCGCAUGGUUCAAUAGUGAAAGACGGUUUUGCUGUCACUAAUAGAUGGAUCCGCGCCGCAUUAGCUAGUUGGUAAGGUAACGGCUUACCAAGGCAACGAUGCGUAGCCGACCUGAGAGGGUGAUCGGCCACACUGGAACUGAGACACGGUCCAGACUCCUACGGGAGGCAGCAGUAGGGAAUCUUCCGCAAUGGGCGAAAGCUUGACGGAGCAACGCCGCGUGAGUGAUGAAGGUCUUCGGAUCGUAAAACUCUGUUAUUAGGGAAGAACAAAUGUGUAAGUAACUAUGCACGUCUUGACGGUACCUAAUCAGAAAGCCACGGCUAACUACGUG